Long non-coding RNA from Solanum tuberosum (potato), 1304 nucleotides. RefSeq lists it as uncharacterized. The transcript is spliced from 5 exons. The record is from RefSeq and is a predicted model, not a curated record. NCBI's taxonomy places the organism in Eukaryota, Viridiplantae, Streptophyta, Magnoliopsida, Solanales, Solanaceae.
UUUUAUAAGCCAACAAGAAAAGGACCAACACUGCAAUACUGAAUUGUACAUCAGGUUGUAUGAAUUGUACUGUUUAUUUAGGCUAUUACACACUUCUCUUUGCCAAAAAAAUAAGCUAAUAAGAGUUGUACAAACAGCUGUAUGUGCUUGUACAAGAGACUUUAAUAAUUAUACUUUAUAGACAACAAGUACAUAAAGCCACGUGUAGGCACAGAAACAUGUAUCUUGCCAUUACUCACUCAUCCUCCACCUUAACCAAAUUUCCUCUGAAGUUUGUCUUUUUUUUUUUUUGGAGCAACUUCAAGCUCUCUGUUUCUGCCAAAUGAUGAAGUAGGGGAAAAGACAUCAAAAGUCAUGAUGUUCUUCAAGAUUCUCAUCUACAAGAUAACUAAAUGAGAGUUGACAUGACAAGAUGACCAGAAAGAAACAAGUUAGUCCUACAUGGCUUUAGUGAAAUGAACACUGUCCCAGUUAAUGUACUGAGAAGGGUCAGGACAAGAGAAGAGAACUGAAACGUUGAACACGUGAAAGUCAAUAUUUGUCUGUUUCAUGUUGAUUUCAAUUUCACGUUUUAUACAGAAGUAAUUUGUGAUAACAGUGAGACAAUAUUUGAAUAUGAUCACGUUACUACUGAGGGAUAAACUUGAGAAAACUAUAUAAUCUAUGUGACGCUUUCAAGAAUGUAUCUGCAACCAGAUUCUUGGAGUCCCUUAUAUACUACUUUGGUUAAAGAUGCUCCAUUAUGUUAAUAUUAUUGAUCAUGUCCUGCAGAUCUCUACCUCUUUACUGUUAGUAUUAGGGUCCUCUCCCUCUUCUAGUGAAUUUUUUUUGUUCUCUUUGCUUUUCAUGCUUUCAAUGUUAGAUCUGUCUGAUGUUUUUGCUGAUUGUCUGUGAUAGUGAAACUUGCUAUAGGUUAGACCAUCAUACUUUUUGCUGGCGGACUUCACCAAUUACUGUUUUGAAGUUGAUGGCUUGAGGACAAAUACAGAAUAUUUUGGAUACAAUAUUGCAUCAACAUCCAUCUGUUAUUCAAUGAUUUGAAAAAGUCGUUCAAGAUUUUAGCAAGGAAGACAAAGCUCGCCUUCUUCACUCAUCGUCUAACAAAUCUGUCUACUUCUCCAAGUGUCGUUAAAAGGAUUUACUUCCCUGCAAGGAGUAUUCAGGUUUCAAAUCCAAAAAGUUUAUGCUAGACCUGUUCACUUGCCUUAAGCACAUUCAUGGUAAUUAUUUUAUCAUCUGAAAGUGAACUAUGAUUAUCCAAAAAUAAAUUUUGAUUGUCCUCCUGAUGCUGAAGAAUUUUCUCA